UACAGAGGUCUCAAGCGUUGUUCGGAAUCACUGGGCGUAAAGGGUGCGUAGGCGGCACGGUAAGUCAGAGGUGAAAUCCCGGAGCUCAACUUCGGAAUUGCCUCCGAUACUGCCGUGCUUGAGGACUGGAGAGGAGAUUGGAAUUCACAGUGGAGCAGUGAAAUGCGUAGAUAUUGUGAGGAACACCAGUGGCGAAGGCGAAUCUCUGGACAGUUCCUGACGCUGAGGCACGAAGGCCAGGGGAGCAAACGGG
This 253-nucleotide ribosomal RNA is filed under the name uncultured bacterium. RNAcentral describes it as "partial 16S ribosomal RNA". It matches the Rfam family "Bacterial small subunit ribosomal RNA", at positions 524 to 776 of the family's 1533-position model. The record is from RNAcentral.